AUUGAACGCUGGCGGCAGGCCUAACACAUGCAAGUCGAGCGGUAGCAGGCCUUCGGGCGCUGACGAGCGGCGGACGGGUGAGGAACACGUAGGAAUUUGCCUGGUAGUGGGGGAUAGCCCAGAGAAAUUUGGAGUAAUACCGCAUAUGCCCUGAGGGGGAAAGUGGGGGACCGCAAGGCCUCACGCUAUUAGAGAAGCCUGCGUCGGAUUAGCUAGUUGGUAGGGUAAAGGCCUACCAAGGCGACGAUCCGUAGCUGGUCUGAGAGGAUGAUCAGCCACACUGGGACUGAGACACGGCCCAGACUCCUACGGGAGGCAGCAGUGGGGAAUAUUGGACAAUGGGGGCAACCCUGAUCCAGCCAUGCCGCGUGAGUGAAGAAGGCCCUCGGGUUGUAAAGCUCUUUUGUCCGGAAAGAAAAGCAAUCGGUUAAUACCCGGUUGUUCUGACGGUACCGGAAGAAUAAGCACCGGCUAACUUCGUG
This 482-nucleotide ribosomal RNA is filed under the name uncultured bacterium. RNAcentral describes it as "bacterial SSU rRNA". It matches the Rfam family "Bacterial small subunit ribosomal RNA", at positions 30 to 507 of the family's 1533-position model. The record is from RNAcentral.